Non-coding RNA from Myodes glareolus (Bank vole), 1229 nucleotides. The record is from RefSeq and is a predicted model, not a curated record. NCBI's taxonomy places the organism in Eukaryota, Metazoa, Chordata, Mammalia, Rodentia, Cricetidae.
AUGGGGAAACUUAACACAAUAUCCGGAGCCCUUGAUGCCCUGCAGAGGAAGGAGGAGGAUGUCCUCAAAUUCCACGCUGCAGGAACCUACUUAGGUGGCACCAACCUCGACUUUCAUGUGGAGCAGUUCAUCUACAAAAGGAAAAGCGACGGCAUCUACAUCAUCAAUCUGAAGAGGACCUGGGAGAAGCUGCGGCUUGCAGUUCGGGCUAUUGUUGCCAUUGAGAACCCUGCUGAUGUCAGCGUCACCUCCUCCAGGAACACUGGGCAGCGAGCAGUGCUGAAGUUCGCUGCCGCCACUGGAGCCACUCCGAUGAUCGCUGGCCAUUUCACCCCAGGGACCUUCACUAACCAGAUCCAGGCAGCCUUCAGGGAGCCACGGCUUCUAGUGGUGACGAUCCCGGGUCUGACCACCAGCCCCUCACAGAGGCGUCUUACGUGAACCUGCCCACCAUUGCCCCGUGUAACACAGACGCACCUUUGCGCUACGUGGACAUCGUCAUCCCGUACAACAACAAGGGAGCUCACUCAGUGGGUCUGACGUGGUGGAUGCUGGCCUGGGAAGUACUCUUCAUGCGUGGCACUAUCUCCCGUGCUCACCCAUGGGAGGUUAUGCCUGAUCUUUACUUCUACAGAGACCCAGAGGAGAUUGAGAAGGAAGAACAGGCUGCUGCUGAGAAGGCUGUGACUAAGGAGGAAUUUCAGGGCUCCCAAGUUCACUGCUGCUCAGCCAGAGGUGGCUGACUGGUCUGAGGUGUGCAGGUGCCCUCGGUACCCACCCAGCAGUUCCCUACUGAAGACUGGAGUGCCCAGCCAGCCACUGAGGAUUGGUCAGCAGCUCCCACAGAGCAGGCCACCGAGUGGGUUGGAGCCACCACUGAGUGGUCCCAAGCUCCUCUGCAGACACCUGAGCAAAGGGGGAAAGGUUGUGAGAAACAAGAUAGCAGCAGGGUCCCCUUUAUACGCUUCCUUAGUAGCAACACCCGCAGAGUUCUAGUACAAUACUACGGCCAGGACGCAGAUAUUGAUACCGAACAUUUCCGUCACCACCGAGGUCCCCAGGAUCACUUGCCCAAGGGCGGAACUGCCCGCAGUGAUCUGGGCCUUUCCACAUCAGUCAUUGCGAAGAAAAGGCCCACAGGCCCAUAUGAUGAAGGCAUUUCCUCAGGCACUCCUCGGAAGAUUUGCCAUAACCGGGGUUCUACAAGGCCAGCCUCUUCUGAGUCUUGA